RNAcentral lists this ribosomal RNA (222 nucleotides) under uncultured bacterium. Its description in RNAcentral is "partial 16S ribosomal RNA". It matches the Rfam family "Bacterial small subunit ribosomal RNA", at positions 109 to 334 of the family's 1533-position model. The record is from RNAcentral.
AGUAAUACAUCGGAACGUGUCUUCUAGUGGGGGAUAACUGCCCGAAAGGGCAGCUAAUACCGCAUGAGACCUGAGGGUGAAAGCGGGGGAUCGCAAGACCUCGCGCUGGAAGAGCGGCCGAUGUCCGAUUAGCUAGUUGGUGAGGUAAAGGCUCACCAAGACGACGAUCGGUAGCUGGUCUGAGAGGACGACCAGCCACACUGGGACUGAGACACGGCCCAG